GCGGGUUCACGCCGGACAUGCCCCUGUUUCGCUGGAUAGAGAAAAAAAAGAGAAGGAAGAAAUAAAGAGAGAGCCAGAGAAACAAGAAAGAAGAAAAGAGAGAGAGUGAGUGAAAAUAGAAAAUAAUAAAUAGAUAAAAUAAAAUAAAAUAUUCAAUCCUAUCCCCUACUUGUGUCAUUUUCUAUGUACCCCGAUUGGAUCCGGAUGAAGGUCCUAGACUGAUGUUAUGGCAACUGCUUGGAUAGGUCUUUCCUGCCUCUUUUCUUCCGUUUGGGUGGGAAGUUAGAUCAAGUCCAUUCCAGUCCUUCAGAGCUUUUUAUUUAGUGUUUAUAUGCUUUUAAAUAGUUGAAUGCAAAUUAAUUUAUUUUCUUAAAUAGUUUUAGAUAGAUAGCUAAUUUGCCGAUUGAAUCUUGUAAUCUUUGGACAAAUCGAGAUAGAUGACCUUGGCACAAACCUUACUAAUUUUAAAAUUUUGAUCAAUUUCAAAUUAUAUAAAUAUAAAAUUA
Molecule: long non-coding RNA, 506 nt
Filed under: Phoenix dactylifera (date palm)
Lineage: Eukaryota; Viridiplantae; Streptophyta; Magnoliopsida; Arecales; Arecaceae
Description: long non-coding RNA (PDAC_LNC002006)
Source: RNAcentral